CGUGGGGUUUCUUAAAUAGUGAGAUCAUAUAGUACAUUUCAAAUGCUAUUUUUCAUAAUUUUCUAGGUCAUUGUCUAUGUUUACAGCACUGCUAAAGAACCGAGGUGCCUGUCGUGCUGAUGCAGCAUGUACAUUCCUGUUUGCUGGUCCAGGUGCAUGUACAAAGCUUGGUCUUGCAAAACAUCAUACAGUGAGCAAUCCAAGCCACAAGAGUGCAGGGACGCGCACAUCCACAGAAAUGCCACAAGAACCCUGGUGGUUUCCCUGGAGCAUGCAUAGGACAGACUGAAGAACUGCUCCCCUCACAGCUGAACUGCCCCCAAGGGAAAGGAUUGAAAUGGUGCCCCAAAGACUAAAGACACCAAUCCCUAACAGAGUUUACAAGAUGGCAGUCAAGAAACAACUUGCUGAAACACUGAAACGCCUCUGCUUAUGAGGCAAAAGAACUGAGUGAAAUCUGUUAGAACCAAUAUGGCCAGCUGGAGUUUGGACAGAAUGAGCCGCUGAUGAUGUCACAGCCUGAAUUUUCACUGCAUGUUUCAUACUAACCCCUCCCCUGAAUUUGCACAUGGGAUCCAAGAGGUAGCAUGAAGAGAUUAUUGUACAUGCCCCAGGACUUUCCAAACCUCUUCUUUCCUUCCACCAACCACCUCUCUCAUCCUGGAAUCCAUCCCUCUAACCUUUUCUAAUAAAAUUACUGCCUUAAAGCCAGGAUAGGGAGACAGAUUUGACUUGGAAUCCUGUCUCCUUAAUCAACUUAUAAUAAAAGCAUUUCUUUUCUC
Molecule: long non-coding RNA, 782 nt
Organism: Pongo pygmaeus (Bornean orangutan)
Lineage: Eukaryota; Metazoa; Chordata; Mammalia; Primates; Hominidae
Exons: 3
Source: RefSeq, a predicted model, not a curated record